UCUUGCACAAUGGGGGCAACCCUGAUGCAGCGACGCCGCGUGAGCGAUGAAGCCCUUCGGGGCGUAAAGCUCUUUCGACCGGAACGAUAAUGACGGUACCGGGAGAAGAAGCUGCGGCUAACUACGUGCCAGCAGCCGCGGUAAUACGUAGGCAGCAAGCGUUGUUCGGAGUUACUGGGCGUAAAGAGUGCGUAGGCGGUUUUCUAAGUUCGGUGUGAAAUCUCCCGGCUUAACUGGGAGGGUGCGCCGAAGACUGGGAAGCUGGAGUGUGGGAAAGGCAGGCGGAAUUCCUGGUGUAGCGGUGAAAUGCGUAGAUAUCAGGAGGAACACCAGCGGUGUAGACGGCUUGCUAGACCAUAACUGACGCUGAGGCACGGAAGCGUGGGUA
RNAcentral lists this ribosomal RNA (388 nucleotides) under uncultured bacterium. Its description in RNAcentral is "bacterial SSU rRNA". It matches the Rfam family "Bacterial small subunit ribosomal RNA", at positions 362 to 767 of the family's 1533-position model. The record is from RNAcentral.